GACGAACGCUGGCGGCGUGCUUAACACAUGCAAGUCGAACGGAGUUCCUUGGAUAGAGGCUUCGGCCAAUUGAAUUGGAACUUAGUGGCGGACUGGUGAGUAACGCGUGAGGAACCUGCCUUUCAGAGGGGGACAACAGUUGGAAACGACUGCUAAUACCGCAUGACACAUUCGGAUGGCAUCACCUGAAUGUCAAAGAUUUAUCGCUGAAGAUGGCCUCGCGUCUGAUUAGCUAGUUGGUGGGGUAACGGCCCACCAAGGCGACGAUCAGUAGCCGGUCUGAGAGGAUGAACGGCCACAUUGGGACUGAGACACGGCCCAAACUCCUACGGGAGGCAGCAGUGGGGAAUCUUCCGCAAUGGGCGCAAGCCUGACGGAGCAACGCCGCGUGAGUGAAGAAGGCCUCGG
RNAcentral lists this ribosomal RNA (408 nucleotides) under uncultured bacterium. Its description in RNAcentral is "bacterial SSU rRNA". It matches the Rfam family "Bacterial small subunit ribosomal RNA", at positions 28 to 420 of the family's 1533-position model. The record is from RNAcentral.